UACGUAGGGUGCGAGCGUUAAUCGGAAUUACUGGGCGUAAAGCGUGCGCAGGCGGUUCGCUAAGACCGAUGUGAAAUCCCCGGGCUUAACCUGGGAACUGCAUUUGUGACUGCAUCGCUGGAGUGCGGCAGAGGGGGAUGGAAUUCCGCGUGUAGCAGUGAAAUGCGUAGAUAUGCGGAGGAACACCGAUGGCGAAGGCAAUCCCCUGGGCCUGCACUGACGCUCAUGCACGAAAGCGUGGGGAGCAAACAGG
RNAcentral lists this ribosomal RNA (253 nucleotides) under uncultured bacterium. RNAcentral describes it as "partial 16S ribosomal RNA". It matches the Rfam family "Bacterial small subunit ribosomal RNA", at positions 524 to 776 of the family's 1533-position model. The record is from RNAcentral.